RNAcentral lists this ribosomal RNA (253 nucleotides) under uncultured bacterium. Its description in RNAcentral is "partial 16S ribosomal RNA". It matches the Rfam family "Bacterial small subunit ribosomal RNA", at positions 524 to 776 of the family's 1533-position model. RNAcentral also lists the same sequence under 1 other name. The record is from RNAcentral.
UACGAAGGUCCCGAGCGUUGUUCGGAAUCACUGGGCGUAAAGGGAGCGUAGGCGGUUUGGUAAGUCAGAUGUGAAAUCCCGGGGCUCAACCCCGGAACUGCAUCCGAUACUGCCAGACUUGAGUAAUGGAGAGGUAGCUGGAAUUAUCGGUGUAGCAGUGAAAUGCGUAGAUAUCGAUAGGAACACUCGUGGCGAAAGCGAGCUACUGGACAUUUACUGACGCUGAGGCUCGAAGGCUAGGGGAGCGAAAGGG